This 579-nucleotide long non-coding RNA is filed under the name Oryza sativa Indica Group (long-grained rice). Its description in RNAcentral is "lncRNA OsMH63_03G027020". Lineage: Eukaryota; Viridiplantae; Streptophyta; Magnoliopsida; Poales; Poaceae. The record is from RNAcentral.
GCGGCUAGCACGGGCGCUGGCACACCACUGAGCGAGAGCGGAGGCGGAAUCGACGGAGGCGUGGCAGAAGCCGAAUCGACGGAGGCCGACGAACAGGGGCGGGGCGGAGAGGGAGGAGACAGGGAGGCCGGUGACUUAUUGUACUCCUCCUCUUUACCGUCGCUCUCUUCUCUCUCCACCGGCAAGCGCAACAAGACGGGGAGGGCGGAGAGGGAUGUGAGGGGGGAGGGCAAGGGGGGCAUCUCCUUCCUUCUUUGCAUCUGCUGUCUUCGCGGCACAGUCGUCGUAGAAAGAAGCAGCGGUGAUGGAGUAAAGGGGAUGGAAACGGGGGAGCUGGACCACGGCAGAGGAGGCGAAGCGGAUAGGAUUGGACGGGGAGGGCGGCCGGGGCGGCGGAUGAAUCAAGCAUCACCAGGGAAGUCUGAAGAACAACCUGAGGAAACUGAAGAAAUGGAAGGGGCCGACAAGGCUGAUGACGCGCUACAGAAAGCAUCAGAGCAGGAGGCGGACAUGGGCCGUGGGCGUCGCAGCAGACGUCCCCCCAGUGUGCGUGUUGUUGGGCCGGAAUGGGCUAAAUGA